Molecule: ribosomal RNA, 201 nt
Filed under: uncultured bacterium
Lineage: Bacteria
Description: partial 16S ribosomal RNA
Rfam family: Bacterial small subunit ribosomal RNA
Source: RNAcentral
AUCUCCUACGGGAGGCAGCAGUGGGGAAUCUUGGACAAUGGGGGCAACCCUGAUCCAGCCAUGCCGCGUGUGUGAAGAAGGCCUUAGGGUUGUAAAGCACUUUCAGUGGGGAGGAAGGCUUCUGGCUAAUACCUGGGAGUACUUGACGUUACCCACAGAAGAAGCACCGGCUAAUUUCGUGCCAGCAGCCGCGGUAAUAAU